Molecule: ribosomal RNA, 575 nt
Filed under: Aspergillus auratus
Lineage: Eukaryota; Fungi; Ascomycota; Eurotiomycetes; Eurotiales; Aspergillaceae
Description: eukaryotic LSU rRNA
Rfam family: Eukaryotic large subunit ribosomal RNA
Source: RNAcentral
AAAGAAACCAACAGGGAUUGCCUCAGUAACGGCGAGUGAAGCGGCAAGAGCUCGAAUUUGAAAGCUGGCCCCCUCGGGGUCCGCAUUGUAAUUUGCAGAGGAUGCUUCGGGUGCAGCCCCCGUCUAAGUGCCCUGGAACGGGCCGUCAUAGAGGGUGAGAAUCCCGUCUGGGACGGGGUGUCUGCGUCCGUGUGAAGCUCCUUCGACGAGUCGAGUUGUUUGGGAAUGCAGCUCUAAAUGGGUGGUAAAUUUCAUCUAAAGCUAAAUACUGGCCGGAGACCGAUAGCGCACAAGUAGAGUGAUCGAAAGAUGAAAAGCACUUUGAAAAGAGAGUUAAACAGCACGUGAAAUUGUUGAAAGGGAAGCGUUUGCGACCAGACUCGCCCGCGGGGUUCAGCCGGCAUUCGUGCCGGUGUACUUCCCCGCGGGCGGGCCAGCGUCGGUUUGGGCGGCCGGUCAAAGGCCCUCGGAAUGUAUCACCCCCCGGGGUGUCUUAUAGCCGAGGGUGCAAUGCGGCCUGCCCGGACCGAGGAACGCGCUUCGGCUCGGACGCUGGCGUAAUAGUCGUAAAUGAC